GAUGAACGCUGGCGGCGUGCCUAAUACAUGCAAGUCGAGCGAACGGACAAGAAGCUUGCUUCUCUGAUGUUAGCGGCGGACGGGUGAGUAACACGUGGAUAACCUACCUAUAAGACUGGGAUAACUUCGGGAAACCGGAGCUAAUACCGGAUAAUAUUUUGAACCGCAUGGUUCAAAAGUGAAAGACGGUCUUGCUGUCACUUAUAGAUGGAUCCGCGCUGCAUUAGCUAGUUGGUAAGGAAACGGCUUACCAAGGCAACGAUGCAUAGCCGACCUGAGAGGGUGAUCGGCCACACUGGAACUGAGACACGGUCCAGACUCCUACGGGAGGCAGCAGUAGGGAAUCUUCCGCAAUGGGCGAAAGCCUGACGGAGCAACGCCGCGUGAGUGAUGAAGGUCUUCGGAUCGUAAAACUCUGUUAUUAGGGAAGAACAUAUGUGUAAGUAACUGUGCACAUCUUGACGGUACCUAAUCAGAAAGCCACGGCUAACUACGUG
This 497-nucleotide ribosomal RNA is filed under the name uncultured bacterium. RNAcentral describes it as "partial 16S ribosomal RNA". It matches the Rfam family "Bacterial small subunit ribosomal RNA", at positions 28 to 507 of the family's 1533-position model. The record is from RNAcentral.